Long non-coding RNA from Daphnia pulicaria, 640 nucleotides. RefSeq lists it as uncharacterized. NCBI's taxonomy places the organism in Eukaryota, Metazoa, Arthropoda, Branchiopoda, Diplostraca, Daphniidae. The transcript is spliced from 2 exons. The record is from RefSeq and is a predicted model, not a curated record.
CCCUUGCGGAAGGUCUUGCCACUUCCUUGCCUUCCCAUUAGGCGGAUGUACGCAGUUGCUUAAACAAAUUGUUUUCACAGUCUUUUUUUCCAAAAUCUUUUUUAUUUUUUAAAUUAAAAUUCCCUGGCGUGUGGUCCAUCGGACCAGAAGGGGGCUCUAAUGUCUGAUGACUUUGAAAUCACCUUCAAAAUGUAUAUGACAACGGCUGAUGCAAUUUGGUAGUAACUUCAUUUGCAUCAGAAUACGUAAUCUGGUACUUAAACAAACAACAUCAACACCUUCAAGGACUGCCCAGAAGCGAAAACAACAACAACAACAAGCCGGUCGGCGUGAGUGUAGGACAUUUGAAGAGCAUCGGGAGCCGGAAGGCGUUCCACAGCCCAACAACAACAACAACCGAAAAAUUUCAUCUAGAAGAUUUAACCUUCACCCGUCUUUUGCCUACAUUUUUUAUUAUUUUAUUCGCUUCAUACGCACAUUCUUCUUCUUUUUACUCUCUUCAUUCAUUUUCCCUUUUUAUAUUCGCCUGAAAUGCCCAGUUGGUGAAGGUCACCUUCUUCUAUUUAGUGGCGGACUCGUCGCACUUCUGAUCCACUUGUUGCAUUUUUAUUUAAUACACCCGCAGGUUAUUUUACUCUGA